Molecule: ribosomal RNA, 497 nt
Filed under: uncultured bacterium
Lineage: Bacteria
Description: partial 16S ribosomal RNA
Rfam family: Bacterial small subunit ribosomal RNA
Source: RNAcentral
GAUGAACGCUGGCGGCGUGCCUAAUACAUGCAAGUCGAGCGAACAGACGAGGAGCUUGCUCCUCUGACGUUAGCGGCGGACGGGUGAGUAACACGUGGAUAACCUACCUAUAAGACUGGGAUAACUUCGGGAAACCGGAGCUAAUACCGGAUAAUAUAUUGAACCGCAUGGUUCAAUAGUGAAAGACGGUUUUGCUGUCACUUAUAGAUGGAUCCGCGCCGCAUUAGCUAGUUGGUAAGGUAACGGCUUACCAAGGCAACGAUGCGUAGCCGACCUGAGAGGGUGAUCAGCCACACUGGAACUGAGACACGGUCCAGACUCCUACGGGAGGCAGCAGUAGGGAAUCUUCUGCAAUGGGCGAAAGCCUGACGGAGCAACGCCGCGUGAGUGAUGAAGGUCUUCGGAUCGUAAAACUCUGUUAUUAGGGAAGAACAAAUGUGUAAGUAACUAUGCACGUCUUGACGGUACCUAAUCAGAAAGCCACGGCUAACUACGUG